This 470-nucleotide ribosomal RNA is filed under the name uncultured bacterium. RNAcentral describes it as "bacterial SSU rRNA". It matches the Rfam family "Bacterial small subunit ribosomal RNA", at positions 33 to 507 of the family's 1533-position model. The record is from RNAcentral.
GACGACGCUGGCGGCGUGCUUAACACAUGCAAGUCGAACGGUGACGAGGAGCUUGCUCCUCCGAUCAGUGGCGAACGGGUGAGUAACACGUGAGUAACCUGCCCCAGACCCUGGGAUAACAGUUGGAAACAGCUGCUAAUACCGGAUACGAGACGGAGAGGCAUCUCUACCGUCUGGAAAGAUUUAUCGGUCUGGGAUGGACUCGCGGCCUAUCAGCUUGUUGGUGAAGGUAAAGGCUCACCAAGGCGACGACGGGUAGCCGGCCUGAGAGGGCGACCGGCCACACUGGGACUGAGACACGGCCCAGACUCCUACGGGAGGCAGCAGGUGGGGAAUAUUGCACAAGUGGGCGAAAGCCUGAUGCAGCGACGCCGCGUGAGGGAUGACGGCCUUCGGGUUGUAAACCUCUUUCAGCGAGGGAAGAAGCGAAAGUGACGGUACCUGCAGAAGAAGCACCGGCUAACUACGUG